Molecule: ribosomal RNA, 1169 nt
Filed under: Ilyoplax obliqua
Lineage: Eukaryota; Metazoa; Arthropoda; Malacostraca; Decapoda; Dotillidae
Description: partial 16S ribosomal RNA
Source: RNAcentral
UUAAAUUAGUUUUCAUACUUGUCUAUAACACAAUUUUUUAAUAUCUUUAUAUGAAAAAUAAUUUUUUUACAAGUUUUAAGUAAUUAUUCAUAAACUAAACCCUGUGACGAUAGCUUACUAGUACUUUAAAGGAAAGUUUUAUAAAACAAAAAUAGAAUUGGUAAAAACCUUUACCUUGUGUAUUAGGGAAAAUUAAUAUAACCUAAAUAACAUAGUACUCCCGAAAUAAAAACAGUUAAAUUUAUAUUACUAUUUUUAUAGAAAAAAAAUGCUAAAUAUGAAUUUAAAGGUAAAAUGCCAACCGAGUUUUAUUAUAUCUGGUUUUUUUAAAUUUAAUUAAAUUUUUAAUUUAGGUUAAUUAAUUUUUACCUAAAAUACAAUUAUAGGAGGGACUAGCUUCUUAUAUAAUAAUAAUCAAAAAGUAAUUUUAUUAAUAAUCAAACUAAUUAAGCUUAAAAAUAGCUAUACUAAUAAAAUGUUACAAUUAAUUUUAACUAUUUAAAUUAUUUACUUUUACUUUUUUUAACUAUAAAAAAAUUAUAUAAACCAAAAAAAAAUAUGCUAUAAUAAUUUUAUUAGUAAACAAUAAUGUCAAUUAUAAAAAAUAAAAUAAUAAAACAAAAAUAAUACAAUAAAUAAAAUAUAAAGGAACUCGGCAAAAACAUUUCUUGCCUGUUUAUCAAAAACAUGUCUAUUUGAAAAUAUAAAAAGUCUAGCCUGCCCGCUGAAUAUUCUUAUUUUAAUGGCCGCGGUAUCUUGACCGUGCAAAGGUAGCAUAAUCGUUUGGUUUUUAAUUGAAAUCUUGUAUGAAUGGUUUGACAAAGAAAAAACUGUCUCUGUAUUUUUUAUUGAAUUUAACUUUUAAGUGAAAAGGCUUAAAUAAAUUUAAAAGACGAUAAGACCCUAUAAAACUUUACAUAAGCCUUUAUUUAGUUAAAUUAUAAAUCAAUAAAAACUUAAUAAAAUCCUUAUGUUAUGUUGGGGCAACACAGAUAUAACCUCAUACUAAUUGUCUAAGUUUUUUUACAUUUAUUGAUGAUUACGUUAUUUUAAUUGAUCCUUUUUAAAGAUUAAAAGUUCAAGUUACUUUAGGGAUAACAGCGUUAUUUUUUUUGAGAGUUCCUAUCGAAAAAAAAGAUUGCGACCUCGAUGUUGAAUUAAAGUUUCUU